RNAcentral lists this ribosomal RNA (433 nucleotides) under uncultured bacterium. RNAcentral's name for it is "partial 16S ribosomal RNA". It matches the Rfam family "Bacterial small subunit ribosomal RNA", at positions 29 to 507 of the family's 1533-position model. The record is from RNAcentral.
AACGAACGCUGGCGGCAUGCCUAACACAUGCAAGUCGAACGAGACCUUCGGGUCGAUUUGCGCACGGGUGCGUAACGCGUGGGAACCUGCCCUUAGGUUCGGAAUAACUCCCCGAAAGGGGUGCUAAUACCGGAUAAUGUCGUCGGACCAAAGAUUUAUCGCCUUUGGAUGGGCCCGCGUUGGAUUAGCUAGUUGGUAGGGUAAAAGCCUACCAAGGCGACGAUCCAUAGCUGGUCUGAGAGGAUGAUCAGCCACACUGGGACUGAGACACGGCCCAGACUCCUACGAGAGGCAGCAGUGGGGAAUAUUGGACAAUGGGCGAAAGCCUGAUCCAGCAAUGCCGCGUGAGUGAUGAAGGCCUUAGGGUUGUAAAGCUCUUUUACCCGGGAUGAUAAUGACAGUACCGGGAGAAUAAGCUCCGGCUAACUCCGUG